Molecule: ribosomal RNA, 388 nt
Filed under: fern endophytic bacterium R28
Lineage: Bacteria
Description: partial 16S ribosomal RNA
Rfam family: Bacterial small subunit ribosomal RNA
Source: RNAcentral
UGCCNCCAAAAANAUNAGGGCUUUCCCUUCGGGGACAGAGUGACAGGUGGUGCAUGGUUGUCGUCAGCUCGUGUCGUGAGAUGUUGGGUUAAGUCCCGCAACGAGCGCAACCCUUGAUCUUAGUUGCCAGCAUUCAGUUGGGCACUCUAAGGUGACUGCCGGUGACAAACCGGAGGAAGGUGGGGAUGACGUCAAAUCAUCAUGCCCCUUAUGACCUGGGCUACACACGUGCUACAAUGGACAGAACAAAGGGCUGCAAGACCGCAAGGUUUAGCCAAUCCCAUAAAUCUGUUCUCAGUUCGGAUCGCAGUCUGCAACUCGACUGCGUGAAGCUGGAAUCGCUAGUAAUCGCGGAUCAGCAUGCCCGGNAANANUUAGANNAUCCUCC